CCAAGGUUCCGUAGGUGAACCUGCGGAAGGAUCAUUA
This 37-nucleotide ribosomal RNA is filed under the name Rhodotorula toruloides. Its description in RNAcentral is "partial 18S ribosomal RNA". The record is from RNAcentral. Lineage: Eukaryota; Fungi; Basidiomycota; Microbotryomycetes; Sporidiobolales; Sporidiobolaceae.